GCCUUCAGAUCCGCUGCCGAGAAGAUACCUAAAGAUCUUCCAUUGAGAUCUGAGAUCUCAUACGAGCUGUUGCCUUUUUUUGCAACGAUGACGCACGCUUUAUACUGCGGACCUAACUUCGCGUUAAAGUCCUUUCCAGCAGAUGACAAAGUAAAGCUCCGUUUGAAGACUCGUUGUCCGACAGUGAAUGUAGCAUCAUCGAUCGCGUCGACGGAUUGAGAAACUGUUGGACGAAUUCCAAAGGCCUGCCAGAAGUUAUAUCCCAAGAUGCAACGACGAUUCAAGUUGGGAUCAACCAAGACCGGUAUCGAAUCAACGUUCGCAGCCAGCAAUGCAAUACGGAAAUCAUCUCGAGUAUUGCGAAACAGAACAUCGAACUUCCUCUUCUCAUCCCACGGAUUUGACAUGCCGCGAAAGAUCCGGACCAUGUCCAAGUAAAAGUCCUGGAACUUCUCCCUGACACCUUGCUUCCGGUUGUUAGCUUGCCGUUCGUAGACGUAGUCGAUGUCGACAGAUGACUUCUCAGUGUUCUCUCUGAUGCGCUCCGUGAAGAUACAAUUGCGAGACCACGGAUCCUUAGCUCGUGUUGCAGCUCAUCUAUCGUCAGAUGGCCAGGAUUCAACGCAUGGUACUGUGCCGACAAAAGAGACAUGCUAGUCUCCGCCAUGUUCAUUCAACAACACAGGAAAAUCGUAG
Ochlerotatus camptorhynchus is the source of this 696-nucleotide long non-coding RNA. RefSeq lists it as uncharacterized. Lineage: Eukaryota; Metazoa; Arthropoda; Insecta; Diptera; Culicidae. The transcript has 4 exons. The record is from RefSeq and is a predicted model, not a curated record.